This 497-nucleotide ribosomal RNA is filed under the name uncultured bacterium. RNAcentral describes it as "partial 16S ribosomal RNA". It matches the Rfam family "Bacterial small subunit ribosomal RNA", at positions 28 to 507 of the family's 1533-position model. The record is from RNAcentral.
GAUGAACGCUGGCGGCGUGCCUAAUACAUGCCAGUCGAGCGAACGGACGAGAAGCUUGCUUCUCUGAUGUUAGCGGCGGACGGGUGAGUAACACGUGGAUAACCUACCUAUAAGACUGGGAUAACUUCGGGAAACCGGAGCUAAUACCGGAUAAUAUUUUGAACCGCAUGGUUCAAAAGUGAAAGACGGUCUUGCUGUCACUUAUAGAUGGAUCCGCGCUGCAUUAGCUAGUUGGUAAGGUAACGGCUUACCAAGGCAACGAUGCAUAGCCGACCUGAGGGGGUGAUCGGCCACACUGGAACUGAGACACGGUCCAGACUCCUACGGGAGGCAGCAGUAGGGAAUCUUCCGCAAUGGGCGAAAGCCUGACGGAGCAACGCCGCGUGAGUGAUGAAGGUCUUCGGAUCGUAAAACUCUGUUAUUAGGGAAGAACAUAUGUGUAAGUAACUGUGCACAUCUUGACGGUACCUAAUCAGAAAGCCACGGCUAACUACGUG